Molecule: long non-coding RNA, 2684 nt
Organism: Zea mays
Lineage: Eukaryota; Viridiplantae; Streptophyta; Magnoliopsida; Poales; Poaceae
Exons: 6
Source: RefSeq, a predicted model, not a curated record
AGAGAUACAGAUACCUGGACAAAAUUGGGCACGUCUUCUUCUCCGCGAACCUCGCGUCCUCCUCGCCUUCCUUCCUACAAGUCUCCUCCCCUCCCCAUGCCUCCCUCGGGCCUCGCUUCUCGUGCUCUUCCUCUCCUGCCCCCGCCAGCCUCCAACAACCCGCGAGGGCGCCGUCCGCCCCUGCCUCCGGGAGCGAUGAUGAUCGCGCGACGCCUGCUCUGAUCCAACAAUGCCCCCGCCCAGGCAAGCAGCUUAUUGAAGCAUGUAACUGGCACCGCAAGUUUGCAAGGCUAUGCGGAUAGCUUGUUGGAUGCGACAGUCAGACAUUUUGGUUCAGCACCGUCUGCUCAGCCUGAAGAAAAUGGGUUCAAGGGCCACGGCAUGCUGGCGCCUUUUACAGCUGGCUGGUAGAGCAAUGAUUUGCACCCUCUGAUCAUUGAGAGAUCUGAGGGUUCCUAUGUCUAUGACAUUAAUGGGAACAAGUAUCUGGACUCUCUUGCAGGAUUAUGGUGCACAGCUUUAGGUGGUAGCGAGCCUCGAUUAGUCAAAGCAGCAACUGAGCAAUUAAACAAAUUACCCUUCUACCAUUCCUUCUAGAACCGUACAACAAAACCUUCGUUGGAUCUUGCGCUGGAGAUCCUUAGCAUGUUCACUGCAAGGGAAAUGGGGAAAGUUUUCUUCACAAACAAUGGUUCAGAAGCAAAUGACUCUCAGGUGUCCCUAUUUUACAGCCCCUCAGUACCAUCAAUGGUGUUUUUUUGCCGGACACGUAGGAGAGUUGAGUAACAUUAUAUUAAGAAGAAUACCAUCAAUGGUGGUGCUGUCAGCGUUCUUUGCUUUUACUGCAGAUAACUGAAAGUGUUUAAAUACUGAUUUUUGCAUCAGCAGCUCAUCUUUAAAGAACUUAAACACAAAAACUGAAAGUAAAGUUACAUGGUCUUUACACCUCGCUAAAGAAAUAUGUCUGUGCUCUCUCAUUACUGGUAAUAAAAUGGUUGUUGGUUCAUCGACCAUGGUAUUCAUGUAUCCAUCAUAGCCCAAUUUCUCUUUGAAAUAUACCUAGCUAGUUGGCAGACCUUGAAGCUUUCUAUUCUAGCAUUUUAGUAUGUUGUUUUUAUUUCUCUUUGAUAUAGACAUGGUUUUGUUUCUAAUAGGUCUAUUGCUUUCAGAGAUAAUAUGCUCAACCUUUGCAACCCUGAGUUGCAUAGAACUACCCUAGUUGAGCUCUCCAAGGUCCCUCCUGUGCCUUGUCUGCAGAUUAUAAAUCUCAGCAACGAAAGAUUUAGCCCGAUUUUAGCUCUAGAGAGAAUUCUUGCCUGAAUUCUUAUUAGUGAAACUCUGCAUCUUGUGGUAUGAUAUGUUUUUCUGGGAUUAGGAUGGUUCGGUUUUAAUGCUGGCUGCAGGGGCUAUCAUAUAACUAGGUAAUUAAACAACAUUUCUUCUUGAUCAAAUCUGGGUGUGCAACGACUGCACUAUUUGAAAUCUUGCAGAUUUUAACAUGAGGGUGCAUGGUUAUGUUGUGCGAUUAGAUCCAUCUAUGAAUUGUUUGUGCUUCUACAUUUAGGAACAAUGGGCAAUUAGGAUUUUUUAUGUAUGUUUUGAAUGAUUCUUAAUUGUUGCAGUAACAGUGACAAGAUAGGUUGUUUAAUUAUGUCCUCAUUGCAAUAUCAUUGGUAAAGUAGGCAGUAGUCAUAGGAUAUUCUGUACCAAGGUUGCUUUUUAUAGGAAUUACUUGAACUAAAUAACAACAAUGUAUGAUCUGUCUAGGAAUAAGAUUGUUUAUAUCAUAUUGUAUACAUGCUGAAAGUAGCAGCAAGCAACAGAUUUCCUAAACUAUGUUCCCAAGUAGUUCACAUGUAAUUGUGUGUUCUUGAAGUGCAGAGCAAUCCACCACAACCACGACGCGAAGGACUCCAAGCUACAAUUUCUGCAUCACUAAAACAAAAAAACAACAGUAAUGCAUCCAAGGUGCUCACUCAGGUCCUUCUGUUCUCUUAAAAUUUUAUAUGUGUAAAAUAUCAUGCUGACUGUAGUUAAUAAUCAAGUGCAUUAGUCCUAGGAAAGCUUUGGGCAUUUGGUGAGGAGCGCAAGCAAAAUACGGCAAAAACAUCAUGGCUGGUGUCUAAAUUUGUUUCCAAUCUUCCUAUCACUAAUGUGUUGCCCUUGCACUAUUGGGCUCACCUUGCCAUGCCAUGCUGGGGCAGUGCAGUUGUGCAGGCUUGGAGCUGAAGUUUGGGAGCUGAAGGCAAAGAGGCAGGGACUAUGUGCAGAAAUAAGAAAUAAUGAUUAGAUCAGUCUAGGAUAUACAUGCUUCCCAUUGUAUGAAUUUUUGUGCUAUAAUAUUUUUCCUUCCCCUUCUUUGAAAUGCGAUAUUUGCACAUCUCUUCUCAACUUUGCAUUACUUAUUCCUGUCAUUUUGUAUAUAUUAACCUGUUAUAUUUUCUAUGCUUCAUUUUUUCAGUUCUGAACCUGGAACACUAUGAAGAUGCAAGGGCUUGCUGCAUAUGGAUAUUUGUUUUGCAUAUUGGUUAUUUAUUUAGGAUCUAGAUCACCGAUGACUAUGAGUCAUAUGUAAAUAUAUUUUUAUCAUACCAAAAGUGUCUCGAACAUAUAUUAUAUAUGAAACUAUGGAUCAACUUCUUGUAAUGCAAUUAUUGAUUUUUAAUAUAUAUUAUUUUUUCUUC